Long non-coding RNA from Drosophila yakuba, 1911 nucleotides. RefSeq lists it as uncharacterized. The record is from RefSeq and is a predicted model, not a curated record. NCBI's taxonomy places the organism in Eukaryota, Metazoa, Arthropoda, Insecta, Diptera, Drosophilidae. The transcript is spliced from 2 exons.
UUUGUUUUAGUUUAUUAUGUUUAUGUAUUAUGAUCAGUUUUGUUAUAUUUUCUUUCUUUCUUGUUUCCUGUCUUUUAUAAUUUUCAAAUGAAUUUGUUUAGCCCAGAUGCAAAUACAAAUAUACUAUCUCUUAAAACAUUAACUUGUUCUAAAAAGCUUUAUAGUUUUUCUUAUGUUUUGGUUUAAUUCAAUUUAAAAAUGACUUAUUUUAUAUUAAGUUUUUAUUAUUAAUUUAUUAUACUUAUAUUUGGUUUGGCAUGUCAUAGGAAAUAUGUGUGCUACUAGGUCUGAAAGUUGAACUACCGAGGGUAUUGGUGCUUGUGCAACUUUUUCCAUAAUGUCUUCAGUCCUCAAAAGUUCAGUUUAGUUUGGCCAACUAGGGAAAAGUAAAGUAAAGUGAAGUGAAGUGAAGUUAACUGGAGUUGCGUUGAGUUCAGUUCCACAAAAUGCGUGACAAGACAAAGGCAACAACAGAGGCGUGAGUUGAUGUCUCUUUCUGGCCACCUCUCUCUCUCUCUCUCUCUCCCUCUCACGCUCACUCUCUUGCCCCCUCUCUCGCACUCUACCUUUCCUUACGUUUAUUUUUUUGUUUCUGUGGGAGGAGGUUAAGUAUUUACUGCGCACACCGAAAAAAUAGAAAAGCCAAAGGAAACGAAAAUCGUGAGAGAUGCGAAGAGAUGAAAGAGGGCAGGCAAUGGGGACCCGGUUCACUUUUUCCCGGCCUAGCAAAAUUCCCGGCCCCAAAGGACCCUCGCACACACACACACACACACACUCACUGGUAUAUCUAUGUAUAUACGGCAAAUACGCAGACGCAAUAGCAAAGAAAAAAAAUAAAAACGGACAGCUGCUUAACACUUCUGAAAGAGGGAGAAAGAGAGAAGGAGAUAGGUGUAGCAGAGCUGUCUGAUAAUAACGGCAAAGAUAAUGGAAAAGCGCACAAUACGCUAGGCUGCGAAGCCAGCGAAGCAGCGGGCGAAGCAGGAAACGCCAAUAAACGAGACAACACAGCGGACAAACGGCAAACGCAGCCAGGACACGCACUCUCUCUCCCCCCUCUCUCUCUCUAUCUCUCUUGCUCGCUCGCUCUCUUGAUUUGUGCGUGUGUAUGGGUUGCAUAAAUCCGCCAACAAGUUUCCCAUUGUGCAGGGCCUUAGAAUUUCCCUUUUUGCCUCAACAUCCUUUGCGCUCUCACUCUCUGUCCCUCGCCCUCCCUUUCUCUCUCCUUGCAAUGACUCACGAGCUUUGCCCUCGUAUUGGUGUUAUUUUGUUAUACACACACGCCACACGUGCGAAUGUGUGUGUGUGUGUGAGUGUGUGCGGGCAAGAGAGCGUAAGUGUGUGUGCGUGUGUAUGUGUGUGCGUCGGUGUCAUUACAUCGCCAGUUAAGCGCUUACACGCUUCAAUUUCUCGCUUGCCACUUAUGGCCCAACAUUCGUCGCCUUUCGUCCUUUUCGCCUCGCUGUCCGCUUCGGUGCGUGCCAUUUCCGCCGUUCCACGCGUUCCACAGCCACUCGUUUCACUCCGCUUCACCGUUCCAUUCCCACCUUGUGGCGGGCCACGUUUUUGCGCGCUCUUCCAGUUGUUUGUUCUGCUGGCCCUCGAACUGGAAACCAAGCGAAAGGCGAAAGGCGAAAAGCAAAGAGCGACUAGCGGGAUAAACCCGCUCCCUUUCCCUCAUUUGCUUAAAAAAAAAGAAAAUGCUGAAAAGAAGGCCUAGGGCAAAUCAAAGAAUAACUCUACUUUACUUUAUUCUAAAAAUAUCAUAAAUAUAUAUCUGUAUAUGCAUAUCUAAAAAUAAAUGUGACAAAUAACGCCGAAAGCAAUGUCAACAACAAAGUGGAAAAUGCAUUGCCUAAUUGCCAGUGGAAAAACAAUUCUAAAAGCCAAACAAAACAAGCAACUUUAAUA